CAGCUAACAUGCUGCUGCUCUC
This 22-nucleotide microRNA is filed under the name Taeniopygia guttata (zebra finch). RNAcentral's name for it is "Tgu-Mir-34-P3c_3p* (star (passenger))". Lineage: Eukaryota; Metazoa; Chordata; Aves; Passeriformes; Estrildidae. The record is from RNAcentral.